GACGAACGCUGGCGACGUGCUUAACACAUGCAAGUCGAACGGAAAGGCCCUGCUUUUGUGGGGUGCUCGAGUGGCGAACGGGUGAGUAACACGUGAGUAACCUGCCCUUGACUUUGGGAUAACUUCAGGAAACUGGGGCUAAUACCGGAUAGGAGCUCCUGCUGCAUGGUGGGGGUUGGAAAGUUUCGGCGGUUGGGGAUGGACUCGCGGCUUAUCAGCUUGUUGGUGGGGUAGUGGCUUACCAAGGCUUGACGGGUAGCCGGCCUGAGAGGGUGACCGGCCACAUUGGGACUGAGAUACGGCCCAGACUCCUACGGGAGGCAGCAGUGGGGAAUAUUGCACAAUGGGCGGAAGCCUGAUGCAGCAACGCCGCGUGCGGGAUGACGGCCUUCGGGUUGUAAACCGCUUUCGCCUGUGACGAAGCGUGAGUGACGGUAAUGGGUAAAGAAGCACCGGCUAACUACGUGCCAGCAGCCGCGGUGAUACGUAGGGUGCGAGCGUUGUCCGGAUUUAUUGGGCGUAAAGGGCUCGUAGGUGGUUGAUCGCGUCGGAAGUGUAAUCUUGGGGCUUAACCCUGAGCGUGCUUUCGAUACGGGUUGACUUGAGGAAGGUAGGGGAGAAUGGAAUUCCUGGUGGAGCGGUGGAAUGCGCAGAUAUCAGGAGGAACACCAGUGGCGAAGGCGGUUCUCUGGGCCUUUCCUGACGCUGAGGAGCGAAAGCGUGGGGAGCGAACAGGCUUAGAUACCCUGGUAGUCCACGCUGUAAACGGUGGGUACUAGGUGUGGGGUCCAUUCCACGGGUUCCGCGCCGUAGCUAACGCUUUAAGUACCCCGCCUGGGGAGUACGGCCGCAAGGCUAAAACCCAAAGGAAUUGACGGGGCCCCGCACAAGCGGCGGAGCAUGCGGAUUAAUUCGAUGCAACGCGUAGAACCUUACCUGGGUUUGACAUGGAUCGGGAGUGCUCAGAGAUGGGUGUGCCUCUUUUGGGGUCGGUUCACAGGUGGUGCAUGGCUGUCGUCAGCUCGUGUCGUGAGAUGUUGGGUUAAGUCCCGCAACGAGCGCAACCCUUGUUCACUGUUGCCAGCACGUUAUGGUGGGGACUCAGUGGAGACCGCCGGGGUCAACUCGGAGGAAGGUGGGGAUGACGUCAAGUCAUCAUGCCCCUUAUGUCCAGGGCUUCACGCAUGCUACAAUGGCUGGUACAGAGAGUGGCGAGCCUGUGAGGGUGAGCGAAUCUCGGAAAGCCGGUCUCAGUUCGGAUUGGGGUCCGCAACUCGACCUCAUGAAGUCGGAGUCGCUAGUAAUCGCAGAUCAGCAACGCUGCGGUGAAUACGUUCCCGGGGCU
Molecule: ribosomal RNA, 1345 nt
Filed under: uncultured bacterium
Lineage: Bacteria
Description: partial 16S ribosomal RNA
Rfam family: Bacterial small subunit ribosomal RNA
Source: RNAcentral